This is a long non-coding RNA of Nerophis ophidion (straightnose pipefish), 3240 nucleotides long. RefSeq lists it as uncharacterized. The transcript has 3 exons. Lineage: Eukaryota; Metazoa; Chordata; Actinopteri; Syngnathiformes; Syngnathidae. The record is from RefSeq and is a predicted model, not a curated record.
CGCUUGACUUCCUGUUCACAUCGCAUCCGACGACCGACAUCAACAGCAUGCUCACGUUCCUCCAGGACUGGAAAGUCAUACGAGCUGUGCGUGGAAGAUUGGCUAACAAGCGGAGCAAAAUUAGCGCGCUUGGAAGCGGAAGAGGCUCCGAUGGGGUUAACAGGACAUGGAGACAGUUGGGCCGCACCCACGCAUCUGAUUUAAAUAACGCCGCGUUUUGGCGCGAGACUGCGAGCAGACCACGCCCAUCUUCAUACCCGCCAGCCUCCCUGCCGCCUGAGUGGCGGGAAAUGCAAGACUAGAAGGGAGGGGGGAGGGGGCAUAACACAGAAAUGAAUGAGCAGUAGCGGCUCACCUACCAACUGCACUGGUUGCCGUGGAAACCCAAAACAAAAUCUAGCAAAGGGGUGGAGGGGGGUGGGGGUGGAGCAACACCCACCUUCCUGUUGUGGCGCGAAACUGCAGAGAGAUAAAGCUCUCUCUGUGGGAGGAGACAAAGGCAAGCAUGAGUGGAGCAGACCAGAACAAAGAGGGUACCCUUACCCCUGAUCAAAGCCCCACCCCCCAAAACACACCCUGAAAGCUGAAGGCAAAAUGAUGAAUGACUGUUAGAACCUGAGCUUGCAGCUUCAUUAUUCUUCUACAUUUGGGUAGAACCUGAUUGAUUGAUAGUUUUAUUAGUAGAUUGCACAGUUCAGUACAUAUUCCGUACAAUUGACCACUAAAUGGUAACACCCGAAUAAGUUUUUCAACUUGUUUAAGUCGGUGUCCACGUUAAUCAGUUCAUGGUAAGUCCACAACACAAGAGAAGAAUUUGAGAAGACAAUAACAAUAAACACUUGGCCCUGCGAUGAGGUAGCGACUUGUCCAAGGUGUUCCCUGCCUUCCACCCGAUUGUAGCUGAGAUAAGCGCCAGCGCCCCCCGCAACCCCAAAAGGGAAUAAGCUGUAGAAAAUGGAUGGAUGGAUAACAGUAAACACACAUUCACUGUUUUGCCCAAUUAAACAUACAUUAUCAAGCUAAUUUUUACAUUUUUACACUGGCUUACUCCUUUUUACACCUGCAUGACAAUUAGUAUUGUUGAGAGACACUGAACAUGAACCUAAUGAACCCGAGACUCAGGCUGAUACACACUUGAUGUGCUAGUACAUGAGAUGCGGUUCAACCCCCGCUAAGGUAGAGGAACCGCAGGAAGGUCACAUGACUAACACAGACCACUAAAAGCAUCCACCGAGCACUCAAGUCAUUUAAUUAGAUUUGAAUUUCAUUGGUCAUCACAAACAUGAUUGUCCUGCCUUUAAGGAUCACUGGUGUCUGUGGGUCAAAGUCACACAACAGCAAUUUUGUCUCAUUUCCUGUCUCCAUUUAGCUCAACACAAAAACAGGAUAUGUGUACAGACUAUGCGUUUCCUGGGCCUUGUAAUAGGCUCUGUCUUUCCCCGCUUUUACAAUAAAGAUGGGUGCCAAAUCUCGGUUCCAUAACGGACAUACGCGGUUUAACCAGACCAAAAAAGCUCAGUAGCUAAUGCAUACUCUGAAACCUGCAACAAGUGCUUGAAGGUGUGAUUGUGCAAGUCAUGUCAUGUAAUACAUAUAGCAUCCUGACAGAGAAGUGGCGACUUGUCCAGGGUGUAUCGUGCCUUCCGCUUGAAUGCAGCCAAGAUAGGCUCCAGCAUCCCCCGCAACACCAAAAGGGGCCUACAGAGCCCCACGGAAUUUGACGCUUUUUAUAAAAAAGUUGAUUGCCGACCUUAACACACAAAAAGCGGCCCUUAGUUCCAACUCAGUAACACAACACUUCCUGAUUAUGCGCCAAUCACGGUAACAGUGAGUGAGGUGCCUUAACAAAUUGUGGGAUUUUGGACAACAACGUCACGAGACAAGGAAGUGGGGGUUUUUUUCACGUUUUUUGCUGCUGGUGAUUUUGCGACUAUUAUGAAGAAAAUUUGAUUUGAAUUGUAUUUCUUUGUUGUAUGUCUUUGUUUUUUACAAAAUUCUAUACAAAAAAAAAAAUCUGUUUAGAAUUUUUUUAGGUGCCGUUUAAUAUAAUAAUGAUGCGAAUCUUUCAAUGAUUUGAUUUGGUUUCGAUAUGAUAUGUAAAUAUAUAUGUAUAUAAACACUAUAUAUAUAUAUAUAUAUAUAUAUUAGGGCUGCAAAUCUUUGGGUGUGCCACGAAUCGAUUCAAUAUCGAUUUAUGAGGUCACGAUUCGAUAAUAUAUCAAUUUUUUCGAUUCGAUUCUCGAUUCAAAAACGAUAUUUUUCCGAUUCAAAACGAUUCUGUAUUCAUUCAAUACAUAGGAUUUCAGCAGGAUCUUCCCCGUUCUGCUGACAUGCUAGCAGAGUAGUAGAUUAAAAAAAAAAAGAUUUUAUAAUUGUAAAGGACAAUGUUUUAUCAACUAAUUGCAAUAAUGUAAAUUUGUUUUAACUAUUAAACAAACCAAAAAUAUGACUUAUUUUAUCUUUGUGAAAACAUUGGACACAGUGUGUUGUCAAGCUUAUGAGAUGCGAUGCAAGUGUAAGCCACUGUGACACUAUUGUUCUUUUUAUCCAUCCAUCCAUUUUCUAUCGCUUAUUCCCUUUUGGGGUCGCGGGGGGCGCUGGCGCCUAUCUCAGCUACAAUCGGGCGGAAGGCGGGUUACACCCUGGACAAGUCGCCACCUCAUCGCAGGGCCAACACAGAUAGACAGACAACAUUCACACUCACAUUCAAACACUAGGGGCCAAUUUUGUGUUGCCAAUCAACCUAUCCCCAGGUGCAUGUCUUUGGAGGUGGGAGGAAGCCGGAGUACCUGUAGGGAACCCACGCAUUCACGGGGAGAACAUGCAAACUCCACACAGAAAGAUCCCAAGCCUGGAUUUGAACCCAGGACUGCAGAAACUUCGUAUUGUGAGGCAGACGCACUAACCCCUCUGCCACCGUGAAGCCCUGUUCUUUUUAUUAUUUUUAUAAAUGUCUAAUGAUAAUGUUAAUGAGGGAUUUUUAAUCACUGCUAUGCUGAAAUUAUAACUAAUAUUGAUACUAUUGUUGAUAAUAUUCAUUAUUUCAACCCAUUUUUGUUUGACUACUUUUGGUUUGUUCUGUGUUGUGUUUGUGUCUCCUCUCAAUUGCUCUGUUUAUUGCAGUUCUGAGUGUUGCUGGGUCAGGUUUGGUUUUGGAAUUGGAUUGCAUUGUUAUGGUAUUGCUGUGUAGUGGUUUGUUGGAUUGAUUAAAAAAAAAAAAAAUCCCCAUAAAAUAAAAUA